AAUGACCUUGACUCACAUGAAUGACCUUGAAUGACCUCAUGUGCAUGAAUGACCUUGCUGUCUGUGUUCACAGAGGGGGCAGAGACGAGCGUGGAGAAGACUGAGAAGAAGAUUGUACCAACUACAAACCCUGCCCCCACCCCGAUCCCCGCGAGGGGGACGAAUUCUGAAAGAAGCUGGGAGUCCGCAUCCGUCCAGCCUUCUGGGAGCUCCGAAUCCUUCCACAGCCACUCGCUGCUGUCCCCCAGCCUUUGUAGCUUUGAAAUCCAUCGGACAUUUCAGAUGUGGAAACUGAGGCCAGGAGAAUAACUAACUGGCUGAAGGUCACACAGCCAGUAAAGGGUCGAUCCAGGGCUAGACGCGUAUGUUGCAGGUGAACCUGACCUUUGUGCUACCCAGUGGCUCAGCCUACCCCAGGGCAUCCUUCACCCACUGACCUGUCAGCCCGUCCUCACUCACCAUAUGGGACACAAGGGGCCUUAGGACCCAGGGCUUUCCCUCAAGGUACUUGAGCUGAGUAUUGUCAGUGGGCAGAACGCCAGCGCUCAGGGCUGUCUUCCCCUCCCCUGCCGUCCAUGGAGCCCCCGCCUCCCUCACCUCACACAGCGCCAACUCACUCCCGGUAAAUGCAGUGUUUUUCCAUUCCAGUGAGCUCAGCCCUUACUUUGAUUUGGGUGCAGGCAGCUGCAGGUGCCUCAAGUUAUCAUGUGCUCUCUCCCCGCAAUGUCAUCCGUGUUUACUUGCCGCUCUGGACUUUCGAUUCUGUCAGGAUGCCAGUCGGCUGGGCCGCCAGGCACCACAGCUGACAGUCAAAUCUGUGAUGCCGAAUCCUUCUUCUGGAAAAAAGGGCUAAAGAGGUUAAUACACUCAAGUCAGGAUAAACACACCAGCUGUUAGAGUUUCUAAUAUUUAAUAUCAUUAUCAAAUAAAUAACUCAAGAAGAAAUACA
This 949-nucleotide long non-coding RNA is filed under the name Sus scrofa (pig). RNAcentral's name for it is "lncRNA (ENSSSCG00050052516.1)". Lineage: Eukaryota; Metazoa; Chordata; Mammalia; Artiodactyla; Suidae. The record is from RNAcentral.